This 373-nucleotide ribosomal RNA is filed under the name uncultured organism. RNAcentral describes it as "partial 16S ribosomal RNA". It matches the Rfam family "Bacterial small subunit ribosomal RNA", at positions 527 to 896 of the family's 1533-position model. The record is from RNAcentral.
GUAGGUGGCAAGCGUUGUCCGGAAUUAUUGGGCGUAAAGCGCGCGCAGGUGGUUCUUUAAGUCUGAUGUGAAAGCCCCCGGCUCAACCGGGGAGGGUCAUUGGAAACUGGGGAACUUGAGUGCAGGAGAGGAAAGUGGAAUUCCACGUGUAGCGGUGAAAUGCGUAGAUAUGUGGAGGAACACCAGUGGCGAAGGCGACUUUCUGGCCUGUAACUGACACUGAGGCGCGAAAGCGUGGGGAGCAAACAGGGAUUAGAUACCCUGGUAGUCCACGCCGUAAACGAUGAGUGCUAAGUGUUGGGGGGGUUUCCGCCCCCUCAGUGCUGCAGCUAACGCAUUAAGCACUCCGCCUGGGAGUACGGCCGCAAGACUG